UACAGAGGGUGCAAGCGUUAAUCGGAAUUACUGGGCGUAAAGAGUGCGUAGGUGGUUAGGUAAGUUAGAUGUGAAAUCCCUGGGCUCAACCUAGGAACUGCGUUUAAAACUGCUUAGCUAGAGUAUUGUAGAGGAUAGUGGAAUUUCCAGUGUAGCGGUGAAAUGCGUAGAUAUCUGGAGGAACACCGGUGGCGAAGGCGGCAUCCUGGACCAAUUCUGACGCUGAGUGAGCGAAAGCCAGGGGAGCAAACGAG
Molecule: ribosomal RNA, 254 nt
Filed under: uncultured bacterium
Lineage: Bacteria
Description: partial 16S ribosomal RNA
Rfam family: Bacterial small subunit ribosomal RNA
Source: RNAcentral